UCAGUAAAUAUAGCGUCCAAGCAAAUUUAAAAAAGAUCCUUCUAUCCCUAACAACCUCCAGCAAACAAAGAACAAUUCUAUAUAUAUAGAAGCUCUCAUGCUAAAACUACUAAUAUGGGUUCUCCCUUCUAGCACACCUCUUUCUUUAAACUUAAGAAUUAACGGACCACAAAAGGAAGGAAAAUACACUCUACGACUCCUACCUCCUCCUGUAAGCUCAACACUGGUGUGCAAAAUUAAAAUUGAAAGUCUCAGAAGGAACUCGGCAAACACGAACCCCAACUGUUUACCAAAAACAUAGCCUUUAGCCAUUCUAGUAUUAAAGGUACUGCCUGCCCAGUGAAUUUUUUUAACGGCCGCGGUAUCCUAACCGUGCAAAGGUAGCGAAAUCAUUUGUCUACUAAAUAUAGACCAGUAUGAAGGGCCACAUGAGGGUUUAACUGUCUCCUGAGACAAAUCUAUAAAACUGAUCUCCUAGUUCAAAAGCUAGGAUUCAAACAUAAGACGAGAAGACCCUGUGAAGCUUAAAAAAUCCUAUUAAAACGACUAAUGGGUACUUUUAGUUGGGGCAACUUUGGAGAAAAAAUUAACCUCCAAAAAACUAAAGAAGACUGACAAGUCAACAAUGACCCAGUAAAACUGAAAAGCGGACCAAGUUACUCCAGGGAUAACAGCGCAAUCUUCUUCAAGAGCCCAUAUCUAAAAGAAGGUUUACGACCUCGAUGUUGGAUCAGGACACCCAAGCGGUGCAGCAGCUGCUAAAGGUUCGUUUGUUCAACGAUUAAAGU
RNAcentral lists this ribosomal RNA (788 nucleotides) under Anilios bicolor. RNAcentral describes it as "partial 16S ribosomal RNA". It matches the Rfam family "Bacterial large subunit ribosomal RNA", at positions 1512 to 2594 of the family's 2925-position model. The record is from RNAcentral. Lineage: Eukaryota; Metazoa; Chordata; Lepidosauria; Squamata; Typhlopidae.